UUGGUUAAGUUAGAAAGGGCGCACGGUGGAUGCCUUGGCACUAGGAGCCGAAGAAGGACGGGACUAACACCGAUAUGCUUUGGGGAGCUGUACGUAAGCGUUGAUCCAGAGAUUUCCGAAUGGGGGAACCCACUAUCUUUAGUCGGAUAGUAUCCUUACGUGAAUACAUAGCGUGAGGAAGGCAGACCCAGGGAACUGAAACAUCUAAGUACCUGGAGGAAGAGAAAGAAAAAUCGAUUUCCUGAGUAGCGGCGAGCGAAACGGAAAGAGCCCAAACCAAGAAGCUUGCUUCUUGGGGUUGUAGGACACUCUAUACGGAGUUACAAAAGAAAGUUAUAAAUGAAGCGGUCUGGAAAGGCCCGCCAAAGACGGUAACAGCCCGGUAGUUGAAAUAGCUUUCCCUCCAGAGUGGAUCCUGAGUACGGCGGAACACGUGAAAUUCCGUCGGAAUCCGGGAGGACCAUCUCCCAAGGCUAAAUACUCCCUAGUGACCGAUAGUGAACCAGUACCGUGAGGGAAAGGUGAAAAGCACCCCGGAAGGGGAGUGAAACAGUUCCUGAAACCGUGUGCCUACAAGUAGUUAGAGCCCGUUAAUGGGUGAUAGCGUGCCUUUUGUAGAAUGAACCGGCGAGUUACGAUUUGUUGCAAGGUUAAGCGGAAAAAGCGGAGCCGUAGCGAAAGCGAGUCUGAAUAGGGCGCAUAAGUAACAGGUCGUAGACCCGAAACCAGGUGAUCUACCCAUGUCCAGGAUGAAGGUAAGGUAAUACUUACUGGAGGUCCGAACCCACGCACGUUGAAAAGUGCGGGGAUGAGGUGUGGGUAGCGGAGAAAUUCCAAUCGAACUUGGAGAUAGCUGGUUCUCUCCGAAAUAGCUUUAGGGCUAGCCUCGAGGUAAAGAGUCAUGGAGGUAGAGCACUGUUUGGACUAGGGGCCCUUCUCGGGUUACCGAAUUCAGAUAAACUCCGAAUGCCAUGUACUUAUACUCGGGAGUCAGACUGCGAGUGAUAAGAUCCGUAGUCGAAAGGGAAACAGCCCAGACCACCAGUUAAGGUCCCCAAAUAUAUGUUAAGUGGAAAAGGAUGUGGGGUUGCUUAGACAACCAGGAUGUUGGCUUAGAAGCAGCCACCAUUGAAAGAGUGCGUAAUAGCUCACUGGUCGAGUGACCCCGCGCCGAAAAUGUACCGGGGCUAAACAUAUUACCGAAACUGUGGAUGAACCUCUUUAGAGGUUCGUGGUAGGAGAGCGUUCUAAGGGCGGUGAAGUCAGACCGGAAGGACUGGUGGAGCGCUUAGAAGUGAGAAUGCCGGUAUGAGUAGCGAAAGAAGGGUGAGAAUCCCUUCCACCGAAUAUCUAAGGUUUCCUGAGGAAGGCUCGUCCGCUCAGGGUUAGUCGGGACCUAAGCCGAGGCCGAU
Molecule: ribosomal RNA, 1412 nt
Filed under: Listeria monocytogenes
Lineage: Bacteria; Bacillati; Bacillota; Bacilli; Caryophanales; Listeriaceae
Description: partial 23S ribosomal RNA
Rfam family: Bacterial large subunit ribosomal RNA
Source: RNAcentral